RNAcentral lists this long non-coding RNA (8496 nucleotides) under Fragaria vesca (wild strawberry). RNAcentral's name for it is "long non-coding RNA (FVES_LNC002333)". Lineage: Eukaryota; Viridiplantae; Streptophyta; Magnoliopsida; Rosales; Rosaceae. The record is from RNAcentral.
UCAAUCUAGCUAGCCUUUUGGCUGGGACCGUGACCAACCCUUUUGGAAAUGGGUUCUACCAGGGUCCCAAAGAAGCUCCAUUAGAGGCUGCCUCGGCUUGUCCUGGAGUUUAUGCUAAAGGAGCUUAUCCUGGUUACGCCGGAGACCUCUUGGUGGAUGCUACGACUGGUGCCAGCUACAACGCCAACGGUUUGAACGGGAAGAAGUACUUGCUUCCUGCUUUGUUUGACCCUUCAACCUCAACCUGUUCUACUCUUGUUUGAGAGUAAUUAGGAGAUGUGACCACGUUAGAGUAUAAAUUAUGUAGAGAAUACAGUCAUUGAUUCUACAAUUCCCAUUCUUUAUUUUUUCUCAAAUGAAAAUAAUAAAAAUUCAAAUUUCACAUGAUACUUUUGCUUGUUCUGAUUUCAUGAAUAUGAAUAUUUACAUCAUGUUCUCGAAAAAACAAAAACAAAUGGUAUCUAGAUCAAACACAUAUUGGAAAUGCACUCCAAAUUAAAGAUAAAGAACAACAUAGUGUCUACUGUCUACUAAAAGCAAAACAAAAAUGAUGAUCAAUUGUAGCCAAAUACUCCUCCCCUACUGAGAAGGGGUAUCAUGAUUUAUGAGCAUGAUUAGUUAUCCAUCACCUUGUAUAAUUUCUGUAAAAUGAAACAAAUAGCUAACAAGUCAUGAAAGAGUUUUACAUGUUUCGAGUCAUGUAAAAUUUAAUGGGAUAAAAUGGUUGUAUUUUUUCUUUUUGAAAAAAAGUAUGAUAAGGCUGGUCUUACAUCAUAUCCAUUAAUGAAACUAAAGAAUACAUUGAGAUAGUGAUUUGGAGAAAAUGAUUGUAUAAUUCCCCAAGAUUGUAUGCACAAUGUAUACAUACAACGGCAUGUAAAAGUUUAUGGGUCUGCAAGCAAUACCUGGGUUAUUAAGGCAAUUGCAUAUCAGUGGCGAGUCACAUAAGCAAGAUUUAGGAAUGAAAGGCAUAUGCAUGAGGGAGAAGGCAUUUUAAUCUUGCUCCAUCAAAUCAAAGGACCUUCCUUGGUUAAUUACAUAAGCAAGAUUUAGGAAUGAAAGGCAAAUGCAUGAGGCAGAAGGCAUUUUGAUCUUGCAUUCUUGCUCCAUCAAAUCAAAGGACCUUCCCGAGUAAUUAACCGGUAAGAUAUAUCAAGUUCAGAAGAAUUCAUCGUAUUACUCAUCUGGGCUUAGCCAUGGUUGUUUUGUAUUAAUUAGUUAUGCUCAAACCCUGUAAUCUAGAAGUGAAACAUCGUUAGUAUCAAGCAUUGGCCCCAAAAAAAAAAAACACCACCCCUUAAAUUCUAGGGCUAUUAGCCUAUUACUGUGGAUCUUCCCUACCAAAACAUGCAUGCCCCCUUCCCACAGAUCCAUUCUGUGUCGAUCUUUGUUCCAUAACUGGUAGGUCCUUAGAAAAACCAUAAUUCCUUUGAGAACACUCGUUCAGUACAGUAUAUGUCGACGGAGCAUGAUACACAUACACCUGCAUCAUGUCCAUCUCUCACUGCUCCACCACAGCCGACCAUCCACUUCAUACUCCGGCCUCCAUGGCCCAGGUCGUAUAUAUCUUCGACCACCAUGUCCGGCGGUGUACACGUGUCUGACAUUAUAUUCAAGCUCGGAAUGUCCCAAAUUAAAGCACACACCAAUCCACCAUUGCCAGCCCCACUAACUUAGGAUAUGUGCACUUUCCGACCCGUGAUAUUAUAUGUUCAUGUAUGGGUCACCCCCAUCCAGGUUCUUCGCCUCUAGACCUGUAAACUGAGACAAAUUCCAGACACUCCAGACAUUUCAUAAGAUUGAAGAACUAACCCCCAAUGAUCUCCAGCUUUGCUUCUAGCAUCAGAUGACUAUGGUACGUAUUAGGAACCUGCUACCUAAUCAAGUUGGCUGUUUUAUUGAAAAACAGGGUAUCAAGCAGGGAAUUCUUCUUCUUCUUUUGUUGUUGAAAGGGAGCGAGGGUCGUUCCAUAAAAACAAGACUUGAAAAAAAUUAAUGUUACAUAAGCAUAGCUCCAUGAAAUACGACAAAAUUGAACUAUCCGAAAGAAGUCCUAAAUAACCUUAAUGUCGACAUGAAACAAUGACAUAAACCUUAACGUCCAUACUUCUAAUUUGCUGUCUUUCUUCCUAGUAAAUUGUACACAAUGUGCCACUAACCAACAACCCUCCCAUAAAAAUUCGGCAAGCUGUUAGAAUCAAACAUUUCCUUGUAUAUGAAAUCUGUGUAACCUAAACUUCAGUGGAUUUGCAAGAUAGAGUUAUCGAAUAAUAGCAAGAGCUAUAACUAUUAACAAUGAAAUAUAGUAAGCAAAGUCAAUUAGUGAUAGAGUUGAUCAACAUGGAUGAUCAGAAUAAGCUGAGCAGGAAGAUACAGAGGAAGGAGAGUCUUGUCUCUCUCACAAAGGUCACCAAAAAUAAAGAUAUCGAAGUCAAAACCCAAGUAACAUUCCCAAGGAGCAGCCUAGCCUUGAUUAAUACAGUAUACAAGUGAAGAAAUUCUAGCUAAGAUCACAACACCAGCAGCUUCCAUAAAAACACAAUCACACUUAAUGUAUAGCGUUGCACCAACCCAGCACAUAAAACUUGACUAGGUAUUACACUCUUUCUUCAUUAUGAUCACGUACAAGUGGAAUGUGCAUACUAUAGAGUAAUGGAUUUUGUUGUGUUCUCUAAGCUAGGAGAAGAUACAAAGAAGAGAGUCUUGUCUCCCACAAUGGCUAUCUAAAUAAACCGAUCAAAGUCAAGAUCAAAAACUUUCAUGGCAGAAGCCUACACACAGCUCAUCUGAAUAACUUACACCCUGUGAGGCUGUGGCAUGCAUGCACUGACUUUUAAAUCAGCUGCACGCCUGCAUCUCUUCCCACUACCUUCAUCUGUAUUCUGUUUUAAUCAUAAUUGACUAAUCUAACAUACACAAGCACUCUUCCGGAUCACACCCGAUCCAAUAGCUCACAUCUACUGAAUUGGUUAGAUUCGAGUUGAAGAAAAUAGGAAGUAGAUGGAUUAACUACAAAUUGUUAUCCCGAGGAUUGGAAAGUACAAGUUUCCAAGUUUCCUUGAUGAGACAAUUGAUCUUCUUCCUUUGAUUAGAAUUAGAAGUUAGCAACCCUAAUUUCCUUCAAUCUAAUGAGUUGCACGGUCACCAAUCUUACGUACGUAUUAAAAACGACCUAUAAGACGCAAAAUAACAAAUAUCAUUUGGUUUGAAAAAUGAUUUUAACGGAUAGUAACAGACAAAAUUAAAUACAGGAAUACUCUAUAUUUUUGCUAUUUUUUAUUUUUUAUAUUUAGAAGACCUCGGCAAAUCAGAGGUAAACUUCUACCAAAAUAAAAUGCUAUCCCAAUUCCCAAAUGACACAAACCAGUACUAGAGACUGCAUUCAACAAUUUUCUUAAUUUUUGAAUAGAAGUACAAUUCACUGUGGAAAAUACUCAUAGCUUCUCAUUAGUAUUUUGAUCAUAUAAAGUACCUUGAACGUUACGCAAAAAAUGGUUAGUGCAAAACUUUCCCUUUCAACCUCAUUGAUGAAAGUCUUAUUCGUCCUAAUUGACUUGGCUGGAUAAACCCUGUCAUCUAGUCGUUAGGUUGGGAUGAAAAACCAGAGCAAAAGCAUCCCCAAUUUAAAUUUUAAAAUGCAACGCGUUGCCCAGCUGGCCUUUAGCUCUCUCACUUUACUCCCUUCAAGUCCAACCUUUCUUUGGCUCCUUCCAUGCAUUUUCUUCCCCCCAAGUUUGAAGCACUAUAUAUAUGCAUCUCCAUAUACCAUUCCAAUCCACCAAACCUUGAGCUCCAUACCUCUUUUGUUAAAUCACUAAACUCUCAAUUCCCAAAUUCAUAGCUUUGCUAUACAAAAAACCAUGGCUUCUUUUGCUUCCUCUUGUCUACUUCUACAACUAGUCCUGCUCAUCUCUUUGUUCCAUUUUGGCUCAGCAGCUAGGAGCCUUGCUGAGACCUCAGACCAAACCCAGCAGCCUAUGCUAUUCCAAUACCACAAUGGCCCUCUUCUCACUGGUAAAAUCUCCAUCAAUUUGAUCUGGUAUGGAAAGUUUAAGCCUUCACAGCGAGCAAUUGUAUCCGAUUUCAUCACCUCCCUUUCCACUUCUUCUCCUCCAUCUAAAAACCAACCAUCAGUUGCCACAUGGUGGAAAUCCAUAGAAAAAUACUACCACCUCUCCAAUGCCAAGAAAACUUCUUCUCUUUCCCUCUCAUUGGGUACCCAAAUCCUCGAUGAGAGCUACUCUAUGGGCAAGUCCCUGUCUCAGACACACAUCAAGAAGUUGGCAGCCAAGGGUGGCCAGAGUAAUGCCAUCAAUGUUGUUUUGACCUCAUCAGAUGUUCUAAUCGAUGGGUUUUGCUCUAGCAAAUGUGGUACACAUGGUUCUUCAACGAGCUCUCUCAUCAGAGGCAAGAGCUCCAAGUUUGCUUACAUCUGGGUGGGAAACUCAGAGACCCAAUGCCCUGGUCAGUGUGCUUGGCCAUUCCAUCAGCCAAUUUACGGACCACAAUCUCCACCUUUGGUUGCACCCAACAAUGAUGUCGGUGUGGACGGUAUGAUCAUCAAUCUAGCUAGCCUUUUGGCGGGGACUGUGACCAACCCUUUCGGAAAUGGAUUCUACCAGGGUCCCAAGGAGGCUCCACUAGAGGCUGCCUCAGCUUGUCCUGGUGUCUAUGGGAAAGGAGCUUAUCCUGGUUAUGCAGGAAACCUUUUGGUUGAUGCUACAACUGGUGCUAGCUACAAUGCCAAUGGUUUGAACGGGAAGAAGUAUUUGCUGCCUGCUUUGUUUGAUCCUUCAACCUCAACUUGUUCCACUCUCGUGUGAGACCUCUUGGGCGUUGAGCGACCACGUUAGAGUAUAGAUUAUGUAGAGAAUACAGAGAUUAUGAUAAAUCAUAAAUUCUUUAUUGUUUUGAAUGAGAAGUAAUAAAGUUUCUAAAACUGUUAUUAAGUUAUGCAACAGCUUCAAGUUUACGAGUUUUGUAACAUUAUGGAGCAAAUUUUCGUAUAACUCAUCAACGAAUAAAGCUAUGAUGCCACUAUGUGAAUGCAAUUAAGAGAAACGGUACGAACCUGUGUACUAAAUGGAUUAAUACAACACAUCAAAUUUGUGGAUCUGCCACUGCAAUACAUGCAAAGGUAACUGCAUAGGAGUCCUUAUGAAAUCUGAGAUGAACAAAGAGCUACAAUACAAAGAUCAAAUAAUCAGUUUAGUCUCACAACCGUUGCUCAACAGAUGAAUCAAAAAGUUGUAUCUGGUUUUGGCUUCUAAGUUACUUGCAUAAGCAAGGAUUUAUUACCUGAUAGGUAGUCCAGAGACAUCAACAUUCUUCUGUACUUGAGCUUAUAAUACGUGAGGCUCUUAAAUUACUGGUCCUAAUUCCUCUAGUUUUUCUUUUGCGUUUGCUUGUCUUCUAAGUUAAAUGUUUUAGGAUCACAAUUACACUGUUUUGCUUUUGUUUAAAUCUCCCUAAACCUCCCUAAACCAUGAACAAAAGUACCCUAAAACUAAUACUGAUAGAGAUUAAAAAGUUAUUCAAUUUCAAAGAAAUAUUCAUGCUCACAAUGUCAUAGACAAAGCAGUACCAUCCACUGCCUUUUUUUUUUUUUUUUGGUGAGAAUUUCUUGUAAUACCAUCCACUGCCUACCCCCACUAUAUGUACACUUUCCGACCAACCAUGAUAUUGUUGAUGGAAACAUGGUAUGGCUCUGAAUUAAAGUUUUUUCACCUGUAGCCUUUAGUUUGUUUUUUCUCAAGAGAUACCAUUCAGACAGUGAGUUCAAGAAGAUUGAAGAACUAACCACAUCGAAGAACAGCUACGUAUCAACCUCCUGCAAUGUUGGGUGCAUUGCUGAAAAUCAGAAAUGAAGCUAAAGAUCACCAAAGAAAAUCCCAUCAUAUCACUAGCUAGGAAGAAACUCCUCCUGAUAAUAGGAAAGUUUAGUGUGGAUUAGCUCUAUAAGUGAUGCACAAUCGUAGAUUAAUUCCCUAUCUUACGUAGUUGUCUACAUUUUACGGAGUUGGUCUUUCAUUGCAGUAAGCUUGCCUGCUAAUACCAAAAAAGUUGAUGUAUUAAACUAUAAAUAGAUUUAUGUACCUAAGGAGAUCCAUGCUUAACUCGCUUCCUAUUAUAGUACUGUUCCACCAUCAACAGCCCACAUGAAACUUUGCUGGAUAUUAGAAUCAAACUUUUUCAUUCUUAUCCAAUCCGUGUAUCAGAAUCUGAAGUGGGAUUUGCAUGAUAUAUAGUAAUCUAGUAAUCGAAUGUUGCCUUCUGUAAUGACAAGAAGCUACAAUAAUUAACAAUGAAAUAUAUCUAACUAAAGUCAAGUGAUAGAAUUGACUGAAUAAUGCACGAUCAAAAUAAACAUCAGGAAGAUACAGAGGAAGGAGAGUCAUGUCCCUCACAAGGGUCACCAAAAUAUAAUGACAUCUCGAAGUCAAAACCCAAAUAACAAUCCCAAGGAGUAGCCUAACUUUACUAUAUGUUAGUAUAAGUGAACAAAUCUAGCUAAGAUCCCUAUUAUUCCCACCUUCUCAACAAUUGCUUCUACAAAGAAACCAUUAUGCUUAAUCUGCAAUUUUUGUUGCUCCUAUUAAUGUAUAGUGUUCCACCAAACAACCACAUGAAACUGGGGUAGCUAGCUCUCAAAAUAUUUGCUCAUCAUUAUCAAAAGUAGAGUGUGUAGUGGAUUUUGUUUUCUCUAAGAUACCAUGGAAUGGUGAGCAAUUAAAUAUAUUGAUUGGACUAAGAUGAUAGAAUUUAAUCACAUGAUCUGGAUACUUGGAUAAACAUCAGGAAGAUACAAAGAAGGAGAAUCAUAUGUAGCACAAGGUUAUCAACGAAAACCUCUAUGGCAGAAGCCUACACAGCAGCUCAUAUGGAAAACCAUAAACUCCAUUGGAAUUUGAAACCCUGGUCUGGUAGGCAUGCACUGACUUUGUCCCUCUAUUACCCGGCUGUACCUUGUCCCAUAUAAACCUUCCUCUGUAUUCUGCAUCAUGUACAAAUAAGCAAUACCCACAUCCAUAACUCAUGCUCCAGUUAAUAUCCCACUACUUUGUGAGAAUUAGAAUGAUGAGUUUCUUUCAUGGGGAUCCAUCGUUUUCCUUCCAUUUUUACUGAAUUUGAAAGUGAGUAUCAAAAUUGUACCUUCAGUCUAAUGAGUUACAUAUCUCUCUAAUUUUAUGCACCAAAGAUAUCUAUUGAAUUGCGAAAAGAAAGAUACUAUAGCUCGCAAUCAUUUAAACAUUAUUGAAGUAUAACUUACUCUCUUUAAUGCAGCACACUCUUGUGGAAAACUACAAAAUGGGGUAUGCGACGUAUUGAAUCCUCAUUGAUGAUAGUCUUAUACGUCCUAAUUGACAUGGCUGGAUAAACCCUGUCAUCUAGACUUAGAUUAGCGUUGAAAAGCAGCCCAUAUUUAAAUUGCAACGCGUUGUCUUGCUGGACUUUAGCUAUCUCACUUUACUCCCAUCACACAUCCCACACGGCCACACCUUUCUUUUUGGCUCCCUCAAGUCUUCAGCACUAUAUAUACACCUGUCCAUAGUCCUAUCUAAUCCAACCCACAAAAACUUGAGCUCUAUCAAUCUUUUCUAGCAUCACAGAACUUCCCAAAUUGAUUUCUUUGUUACAAAAGACCAUGGCUUCUUCCGCUUCCAAACACCUCUUUUCCUUUGUUCUGCUUCUCUCUCUGUUCCAUUUUAGCUCAGCAGCUAGGAGCCUUGCUGAGACCUCAGAUGAGUCCCAGCAGCCUAUACUCUUCCAAUACCACAAUGGUCCUCUUCUCACUGGCAAAAUCUCCAUCAAUUUGAUUUGGUAUGGCAAAUUCAAGCCUUCCCAGCGUGCAAUUGUUUCCGAUUUUAUCACCUCCCUUUCUUCUUCAUCUCCUUCUCCAUCUAAAAACCAACCCUCUGUUGCUACAUGGUGGAAAUUCAUAGAGAAAUACUACCACCUCGCCAAUGCCAAGAAAACCUCAUCUCUUUCCCUCUCAUUGAGUACCCAAAUCCUCGAUGAGAGCUACUCUAUGGGCAAGUCCCUGUCUCAAACACACAUCAAGAAGUUGGCUGCCAAGGGUAGCCAGAGUAAUGCCAUCAAUGUUGUUUUGACCUCAUCAGAUGUUCUAAUUGAUGGGUUUUGCUCUAGCAAAUGUGGUACACAUGGUUCUUCAACGAGCUCUCUCAUCAGAGGCAAGAGCACCAAGUUUGCUUACAUCUGGGUGGGAAACUCAGAGACCCAAUGCCCUGGUCAGUGUGCUUGGCCAUUCCAUCAGCCAAUUUACGGACCACAAUCUCCACCUUUGGUUGCACCCAACAAUGAUGUGGGUUUGGACGGUAUGAUCAUCAAUCUAGCUAGCCUUUUGGCUGGGACUGUGACCAACCCUUUUGGAAAUGGGUUCUACCAGGGUCCCAAGGAGGCUCCAUUAGAGGCUGCCUCGGCUUGUCCUGGUGUCUAUGGGAAAGGAGCUUAUCCUGGUUAUCCUGGAGACCUCUU